RNAcentral lists this ribosomal RNA (97 nucleotides) under uncultured marine bacterium. RNAcentral's name for it is "partial small subunit ribosomal RNA". It matches the Rfam family "Bacterial small subunit ribosomal RNA", at positions 958 to 1054 of the family's 1533-position model. The record is from RNAcentral.
AACGCGAAGAACCUUACCAGGCCUUGACAUCCUCGGAACUUUCUAGAAAUAGAUUGGUGCCUUCGGGAACCGAGUGACAGGUGCCGCAUGGCCGUCG